This 1169-nucleotide ribosomal RNA is filed under the name Phoreiobothrium sp. MS05-36-11. Its description in RNAcentral is "eukaryotic LSU rRNA". It matches the Rfam family "Eukaryotic large subunit ribosomal RNA", at positions 144 to 799 of the family's 3401-position model. Lineage: Eukaryota; Metazoa; Platyhelminthes; Cestoda; Tetraphyllidea; Onchobothriidae. The record is from RNAcentral.
UGUGGUGUUUGGGUCGGCUCGCGGGAUUGCCACUCCACUCGAAGUCCAGCAUUGAGUAUGGUCACUGGAUUUGGCCCAGAGAGGGUGAAAGGCCCGUACGGGUGGAGGUUCAGACAUGUAAGGCAAUUCACCAGGUCGACCUUCGAGUCGGGUUGUUUGGGAAUGCAGCCCAAAGCGGGUGGUAAACUCCAUCCAAGGCUAAAUACAAGCACGAGUCCGAUAGCGAACAAGUACCGUGAGGGAAAGUUGAAAAGUACUUUGAAGAGAGAGUAAACAGUACGUGAAACCGCAUGCAGGUAAACGGGUGGCGUCAAGCUGCGAGCCCAGGGGAUUCAGCUGGCUAGGAUGUUGUGUAUGCGCCUGGCGCAUCUAUCAGUCAGAGUAGGAUGUGGUAGUCCGCUGGUAAACGGCGGGUCCGGCCGCAAGGUUGGGCGAUGUGUACCGGGUGGAAGCCGGAGCAUGCUACCCGUCUGGGGACUGUCUAGCCAGUGCAAUUUCUCUGUGGUGAACACCACGACCGGUGGAACUGCCAGUCUGCUGUAGUCAAGUCGUGUACGGUAGGUCCUUGUGGCCAACUGGAUGCGAUCACAGGCAAACUCAGUAAACGGCGUAGAGGUGCUUCGGCACUUUUGCGUGCUAUCGGCUACUGGUUGUCAACGGGCCUGCCUAGUGAUUGUUGUAACCGUCAUUGGGUGGCUUGGUGACUAUGGUGGUAAGAAUAACUGUGCAGGGCACCGGGUUUAUNGGCCUCAAUUGCAUCCCGCAUACACGUUACAAGUGGAGUGGGGUGCCGUUGCUGCUUGCCUGUUGUUGGGUCUGAUGGUCGUGUNGCCUGCGCAAAGUGGGCCCGGCUAUGGCCUGAUGCGGGAUAAGUAGUGGACGGUGCUUCCUGUGUGGGGUGUCGAGGGCCUAAUAGUCAGUGGUGCUGUGGUANACGAGCUACCCGACCCGUCUUGAAACACGGACCAAGGANUUUAACAUGUAUGCGAGUCAAUGGGUCCUACGAAACCCAAAGGCGCAGUGAAAGUAAAGCUUCGACUUGUUCUCGGAGUAAGGUGAGAUCCUGCUGUUACUCGCAUCAGCCUAAUGUCAGUAUCAGGCUAAGAGCAGUGGGCGCAUCACCGGCCCGUCCCAUGAUGUGGUCANNNNNNNCUGCGGUUGCUGCUUGC